UGGGGAAUAUUGGACAAUGGGGGAAACCCUGAUCCAGCGAUGCCGCGUGAGUGAUGAAGGUCUUCGGAUUGUAAAGCUCUUUUCUGAAUGAAGAUGAUGACGGUAAUUCAGGAAUAAGCCCCGGCAAACUUCGUGCCAGCAGCCGCGGUAAUACGAAGGGGGCAAGCGUUGUUCGGAAUCACUGGGCGUAAAGCGCGCGCAGGUGGUUAUGUUAGUUUGGUGUGAAAUCCCUGAGCUCAACUCAGGAAUGGCAUCGAAUACUGCAUAACUCGAGGGCGAGAGGGAGAGAUGGAAUGGCGAGUGGAGCAGUGAAAUGCGUUGAUAUUCGUUGGAACACCGGAGGCGAAGGCGAUCUCUUGGCUCGCAACUGACACUGAGGCGCGAAAGCGUGGGGAGCAAA
Molecule: ribosomal RNA, 400 nt
Filed under: uncultured bacterium
Lineage: Bacteria
Description: bacterial SSU rRNA
Rfam family: Bacterial small subunit ribosomal RNA
Source: RNAcentral